UAUUUAAAACUGCCGCCAGCUGCUUGUACGAUUUCUGGGCGGGUAAUUCCAUGGUGAUUCAUGUUAAAUUCUGAACCGAACUAUCAGAGUCAUUUUGAUAUGGUGUAAUAAUUAAUAUAUUUUUUCUGUCACAUUUUUGCAUGCAGGUACAAAUAAUCGUAAUCUACUGAUUCACAGUAAAAAUUAAACAUUUGAUGAUAACAUGAUAAGAUUGGUGGCC
Paramuricea clavata is the source of this 220-nucleotide non-coding RNA. The record is from the annotation of a GenBank genome assembly. Lineage: Eukaryota; Metazoa; Cnidaria; Anthozoa; Malacalcyonacea; Plexauridae.